AGCAACCUGCCUACAAGAGGGGGACAACAGUUGGAAACGACUGCUAAUACCGCAUAAGACCACGCUAUCGCAUGGUAGAGAGGUCAAAGAUUUAUCGCUUGUAGAUGGGCUCGCGUCUGAUUAGCUAGUUGGUGAGGUAAUGGCUCACCAAGGCGACGAUCAGUAGCCGACCUGAGAGGGUGAUCGGCCACACUGGAACUGAGACACGGUCCAGACUCCUACGGGAGGCAGCAUG
RNAcentral lists this ribosomal RNA (235 nucleotides) under uncultured bacterium. Its description in RNAcentral is "partial 16S ribosomal RNA". It matches the Rfam family "Bacterial small subunit ribosomal RNA", at positions 120 to 353 of the family's 1533-position model. The record is from RNAcentral.